This is a non-coding RNA of Schistosoma rodhaini, 46 nucleotides long. Lineage: Eukaryota; Metazoa; Platyhelminthes; Trematoda; Strigeidida; Schistosomatidae. The record is from Rfam.
GCACUGCUGAGGAGUCCCAUAAUAGGACGAAACGGCCGUCCACUGC